GGGAGAUGUUUGAUAUACAAAUUUGCAUUUUAAAAACUUCUGAAAUAGUAUUUAACUGCUUUCUAUAAUCCAUUGAUCAUAGACAGCAGUUUCAUAGGAGUUGAAAGUUACCAAGCAGGUUCCUUGUAUUUUAAUUUUGAUGAAAUUACAGGGUUUGUGUUGUAUUUUAUUACAUUACCAUCUCUCCCACUGCUCAUGGAUUUCCCCUGCUGCUGUCUGUGAAUAACUGUUACCAUUUGGUGAGUUUGGGUGUAACUAGUCAAAUGGAAAUAGAAGCAAUAAAAAGAAAUCAGAACUGCAUUUAUGAGAUUAAUGCCUUGCUAUAUCAUAGAUCAUAAAUUAAAACCUUCUGGCAAAUACAGUUAAGACUAAUGUUAGAAAAUGACUGAAGAAUCCAGAUUCCAGAUGUGGAACUUGCCAAGUCUGUAGGGAAGUGUCACACCAUAUAUUAGACAUUACUAAUACUUCAGUAUGUAUCUGUGCUCCAUCAACAGGUUCUUAAAUAGUUUGCACUCAGAAUAGGAUGUACAUUGUUCACAUUUUUUUUUUUGGUGACUAUUUUAGUGAAAAUGAAUAAAUUGCAGAAGUACUAUGUAUAUCACUUGGUGCAUUGUGCAGCAGAUUGAAGAAAAUAAAUCUGUCUUUGGUUAAUUCAGCAAUCUGAAGUUAGUAUUUUAUUCUGCUAAGGGUUUAGAUCCACUUUUGGGUAAAUUGCAUAAAGGAAAUUUUGGAAUGGUUUGAAAAUGGUAGUUUUAAUAUUUCUUGUAAUCCAGUCACAAGAUAGGGUUGCAGUCCAUCUGUGCAUUUGAGUUUACAGUUCAGGGGUUUUAUAUUUAAAAUGGAUAUCAAUAUAUGUAAUUCCUCCUUUAGACAUCAGAUUUGUUGUGGAAAUUUCUCUCUUCUACAGAAUAUGAAAAUAAAGCAGUUCAUAAACUUUAGUCUGAACGCUGGAAAUAGACUUUAAAAUAUUUGUAUGGGCUUAAAAUAUUUGAGAGUUUUUUCUUUUGAUCUAUUAAAAAAGGACUUCACUAGUGCAAAAUUCUGAGUACUUCCAUGUCCCGUCCCAUUAAAGCCACCUGUCCUGUGGGUGCCCAUGCUUAUCAUUAAUUGACCAGGCCUAUAAUGGGAUGGUAAGCCACAGCUGCUAUUGCUGCUGUUCAGGUGCUGAGCUUCCUUGCUCUGGCAGUCUUAGUCCUGCAGGCUGCUCUGCCUUUCAGGUACUUUGGCUACCACCAUAUUCGCACUCUGCUCUUGUGUUUGUGAGCAGCAAGAUGAUUUUAGGGGUGUUUGUUGCAACCCUGCAUGGAUGCACUACAUAUCAGCCAGGAAUUUACCUGGUGUCUUUCUUUCUUUUACCUUUUUCCUGUGUGUCUUCCCAUACCCAGUGUAACAAGAACAGAAGUACCUGCUGGAAUGUGUAGCAUGUGUCCCAAAGGCUGUGGAGUAAAUUAGGAAAAGUGCAUAGUUGGAAGUUGUGAUCUCGAUCACAUGGGGGAUUUUGUAAUGGGAAGAGCUGCAAUUUUUUAACAGUCUUUCAAGAGUUCAAACUAAGAACAUAUACCUCACCUGAGUGGCCCCCAAAAGGGGGGAUUUUUAACAAAGCUUUUAUAUUUAUAAACUUCCCAGGACUCUGAAUCAUUGGAAAUUAUAACUACUUACUCUGUUGUGAAAUUUACAUAUUUCAUUAUAAAAAAUGACUGACCAAGAAAUUCCAAGGAUGUUGUGAAUAUUCUUCAAAUUCCCACAAUUAUUUAAGAAUAUUUCGGGACUUUAGGCUAAAUUCAACGUAGAUGUCAUAAGUGUUCUUUGCAAUGAAUAGUAUUUCUGGAGCAGGCUGAAAAGUUAAUUGAAUGACCAGUUGUAUAUUAUUGAAUUGGUUAUUUAAUGAAAACUCAUUUUUAGUGUGAUCUUGGUUGUUACUAUGAACUGCCUGAACAUUGUAUAUCCUAAUUGAGUUAUAGUGUAUGAAUUAUUUAUUUGUAAUUGGAUAUCAUGUUACAAAAAUAAAAUUAAUUUCACAAAUCAGGUCCCAUACCUCC
Long non-coding RNA from Strigops habroptila (Kakapo), 2039 nucleotides. NCBI's taxonomy places the organism in Eukaryota, Metazoa, Chordata, Aves, Psittaciformes, Psittacidae. The record is from Ensembl.